UAGGUAUGAGUCUAUUGGUCUAGAUAACUAGCUGUUAAUUAGUUGAUUGUGGGAUCGAGGCCCACCUACCUAG
This 73-nucleotide transfer RNA is filed under the name Indotyphlops braminus (Brahminy blind snake). RNAcentral's name for it is "tRNA-Asn". The record is from RNAcentral. Lineage: Eukaryota; Metazoa; Chordata; Lepidosauria; Squamata; Typhlopidae.